Molecule: unclassified non-coding RNA, 146 nt
Filed under: soil metagenome
Description: partial internal transcribed spacer 1
Source: RNAcentral
CCGAGUUUACAACUCCCAAACCCCUGUGUACAUACCACUUGUUGCCUCGGCGGAUCAGCCCGCUCCCGGUAAAACGGGACGGCCCGCCAGAGGACCCCUAAACUCUGUUUCUAUAUGUACUUCUGAGUAAAACCAUAAAUAAAUCA